UCCCUGGUGGCUCAGUAGUAAAGAAUCCACCUGCAAAGUGGGAGGCCUGGGUUCGAUCCCUGGGUGGGGAA
This 71-nucleotide transfer RNA is filed under the name Bos taurus (domestic cattle). It matches the Rfam family "tRNA". From Rfam's summary of the family: Transfer RNA (tRNA) molecules are approximately 80 nucleotides in length. Lineage: Eukaryota; Metazoa; Chordata; Mammalia; Artiodactyla; Bovidae. The record is from Rfam by way of RNAcentral. RNAcentral also lists the same sequence under 5 other names.